RNAcentral lists this small nuclear RNA (21 nucleotides) under Arabidopsis thaliana (thale cress). RNAcentral's name for it is "snRNA_05683". Lineage: Eukaryota; Viridiplantae; Streptophyta; Magnoliopsida; Brassicales; Brassicaceae. The record is from RNAcentral.
UUGAGACUUUGUCUGAAGAGC